Long non-coding RNA from Lagopus muta (rock ptarmigan), 13602 nucleotides. RefSeq lists it as uncharacterized. NCBI's taxonomy places the organism in Eukaryota, Metazoa, Chordata, Aves, Galliformes, Phasianidae. The transcript is spliced from 2 exons. The record is from RefSeq and is a predicted model, not a curated record.
CCGCCUCGUACGGCCGCGUCAGCAUCCUGCUCUUCCGCCGGCACGGCCGCCUCUGGGCUGCGCUACGGCGCCUCUUCGAGGCCGGCGGCCUCUCGGAACGCAGGGUUGGAGCCCUGCGGCUUCCUUUUGGCUACUGGCGGGGCCGCUCUCCGCUGUGACGCCGUGCCCGGCCUCGGCUGAGCUCCGCGCGCUUGGAGGAAGCCCCACACUCGGCUUCCUACCGCGCCACGACCUCCUCGGCGGGAUGCGGCCUCGGUGCCUGGGGCUGGGCCUGGGCUUGGCCUCGGCCUCCCCAUGGCCCGGCUGCCUUCGGCGGCGAGGAGCAGGCUGGGGGACCUGCCGUGCCCGUGCGGCCUGCCGCGGGGAGCCUGGCCCUGCCGCUCUGUCGGCCUGCGUAGGGAUUUUCGUUUUACGCUUACGGAAUGAUUCAACUCACGCCAUUUUUUUUUUUCCUGUUUUUCUCCUCAUUAACUUACAUUGCUCCUUGCAGCACGUCCAUUAGGAGUGGCAGGCAUGACGGGUGUAAGUGUAGCAGUAACGGUCCUUAGGAGCACGAGUUGUGACUUGCCCAUAUCUUGUAGUGAGUUUGAGGUAUUGCAGCUGUAGUGUUUGGAUGCUGGCAGUUCUCAGAAAAUUCCCUGUGCUGCUUGCUGUGCUAAGGUGUGCAGUUAUUUUGCAUAUUGCCAGAAAAUGAAGCAAGCUGCAGCAUGCCUCAAAUGAAGGACUAAAAGUAUGAAGGAAAUGUAAAACGAUUUCCAUCUCUGUAUGCUCACGUGUGUUUUUCUAAGGAAUUUAAGCCUAUUAAUAUAAAUACAGUAAAUAAGAUUAUUGUAUGUCAUUCCUACCUACAUCAUAGACAUUUCCUGUAAUUAGACAGACUACACACUGAACAAAAAGGCAGUAACAAGCAUGCUCUGUUAGAAUUUGCCAAAAGCAGACAUUUUUGUUGUUUGGUGUUGUAAAAACACCCCCAGAAAGUUUUAUCUUUAAUACUUUUUUUUUCUUCCUCAGUAUAGGAAACAAUAGUUCCCUUGUUCCUGUUUCUGUUUCACUAAGACAAUUCAGUAUCUUCCUGUACUGUGCCUCUUAACUGCCACUUGUUCCAGUCCUGAUGAGGUUUAGGAGUGUCUCCUUCAUGUAUGCUCGUCCUUCAGGGGUGAAUGAGACUUAAAGGCUUAAAGUUAAGGACAUGAGACGCUGGGACAACUGAGUCUGCAGUCUUUAAAUUUAGAAGCUUGAUCUUCUUUCACUUUCACUGGUACAGAAGUGGCAGCUGAAUUAGGCCAAACUUGUGAGAACUGCAUCUGUUACAUGACCUUACUACUCCUGUCGCAUGAUAGUUUGCUUUUUACUGUGAAGAAGACAGGUUUCAAGUAAAGCAACGUUAUGAAUUUCACCUGAAGACCAAAGUCAAAUGGUAUUUUUCGGUUGUAAUUACUGAGAACUAAAAUCAAACAGCUCUUGUUGUUGCAGGCUGCUUCCUGCUUUGUGGUAGGUACAUGGUUAUCCAUGCAGAAGAUGAGGUUAUCAAAUUAGAGACCAACCAUGGAGCAAAGACAAAAAUAACAAUAUUGUACAUGCAGGAACAGAAAUGAUGUGUUUAAAAUACUGUUUAAUGGGAGUAUGGUGCUUAAAAAUACUGGCAAUAGCUUUUAGUGCCGUACAUCUUCAUUCCUAAAUGUCUAAAAUACUUGCACAACCUGUUGCAUUAAUUUCCCCAAGUGAUAUAAAUAUGUGUUUGUGUAUAUAUAUAUAUAGAUAAUAUAUAUGUGUAAAUAAUAUGUGUGUAUAUAUACAUAUAUAAUAUUAAAGAAGGUCCAUUGCAGCUUUAGGUAUGGAUUAGGAUUUUUUUUUUUCUCAUUGUGAUUCAUUUGUAAUAUAUAAGAAUUAAUUAAUGUUUUGUCUUUCAUGUGAGAAGAUUUCUCCUCCUUGAGAAGAUUUCUCCUCCCUUUGUAUUAAAUCUGAAAAAGUAAAACAAACAAACAAAAAACAACAAACUGCUCAGUACCUAAUUUCGGCUGCAUAGAUUAUAUACUUUUUAUAUGUAUUCAAGUUCUGAUUUACACUUUCAGUGUCAUGUACUGUUUGGACAUUCCCAAUAAUUUCAGCAGUUGUCAGAGGAUCCUCCAUUUGGAUUUACUACGCAGAGCACUGCCCGUCAGCUGCUUUGUCAAACUUCCUCUCUGUACUAGACUGGAACUGCCACUUCAGAAAUGACUGCUCUCUGUUAUUUAAUAUGAGGAAAAUCAUAUCAAAUCAGACUACAGUUAGCUGGUAAGAAGGAAAUAAUAAUUGCCUAAGUCAUUUUUAUGGAAUUAAUUUGUUUUCAUAGUAAUUUUCUUAUGAACAAAGUUCAAAAACCAAGAUUUCUAGUUCAUUUGGUUAGUGCUAGGCCGAAGCAUUUUGGGUGAGAAGGAUUUUUAUAUAGUCAGACAUGAAACAGAAAUAAGGCCAUAUACUGAAGUGACAACUAAUGGAGCUGAUGUGUCAUAACUUCUUUGGAGAUUACUGUGAAAUUUGUGUGAAACCUGCAAAAACAGGUGCUGUUCACCUACGUGUACAGUGUACGUAUUACUCAUUGUGUUAAAAAAUAACCUCAGUUCUGCCAUGAGCUGACACACACAUGUAUGACCUUGCCCAAGCCCCUGAGUCACUGCAUGUCUCUGUUUCCUUAUUUAUUUAAAGCAACAAUAACAAAACAAAAAGAACCAACAACAAAAAAGCAUACCCAGAUCAUAAUGCUGGCUGGCGUCAGAAAUAUCUUAACAUGGAACUCUGAGUUGCUUAGACAUGCUAUUGUAUUAAGUCUUAAACACUGUAAAAGAAAAUCCCUCAGUGUUUGAGCAGACCACGUGUGUAAAUGAGUGAGGAUGCUUUUGUGAAAUGGUAACAAGGACACAGGGAGUGAAGCUUUAUAGAGCAUGACAGCGACCAUCAGUUUUGCUGUAAGCUUACCUGAAAAUCCUGAGCAUUAAGACUUCUCUUAAAAAAGAAAUUGUCAGUGCAGUUGCUAGCAUAACAUUAUAUUGUGGACCCACAAACUCCAAAGAAGGAUGUCAUGGAAGGGUAGCAAAGAUCAGGGAUUGGAGAAUUUCUGAUGCAGAAAGGUUCUGAUGUGUGUUAUGAAGAACAGCCAAUUUGAGACAGUUACUUUGUAAGAAGACAUCUUGGGUAUUCUCAGAAUGUUUUGGUUCUGUUUGAAAAGAAGUUACAUAACUAGAAAAAUAUCAGGAUGGAGAAAUACUAUCUUUAUAUUACUUGAAGCUCAAAAAAUAUUUAUUACUUCUUUUUCUUUCUUUAAUUCAAGCUGGUGUUUUCUAUAAAGAGUUACUGGUUGCAGAAGGAAAUGUCUGUUGUAAAUAAUGUUGAUGUCACAGCGUGGUUGUAAGGAUUGUAAACCUGGGUUGGGAAUGAUUAGUGUUUUGAUACAGAAAAUAUAAAGCUCUUGCCAAAAUCAAAGUGAAGUACACCUACAAUUAAAACAAAACAAGACAUCUCAGAUUCCUGUGUAUUUUUAAUUUAUAUGGAAGGUAGAGCCUAGUGUAAUUUCUGUUUUUGUUAGCCUUGCUGCCUAGCUUUGUGCUCAUGCCAAGCUGACGUUUCCAAAAAUAUCAGUCCUGUAGGGUAAAUAGAUCAAUGUACCAUAAACAGACCCUGCACACCUCCACAAAUGUAAUUGAGUCGUUUAUGCUAAAGGCCAGCCAAAUAAAACAGGAUAUUUGCAGAUUAUUUAUCCUUUUGCUUUAACAAUUUUUCUCUGCCACUCACACAGCAGUGUAGUAGGAAACAGAGAAGGGUCCUACUACUCCUGAGACAAAAUGUAAUUCCACACUACACAUUUUGUUUUCUUAAUGACUGUUAUACUUUUAAAAAGUUAAUAAAUGCUGGCUACACUUUUCAAAGCAAGGAGGCCGGAAAUUACCAAGGACAGAAAUUUGUUUGCUGUAACAAGCAAGAUUUAGUUUUAAAGAAUUUGGUUACUUAAACUAAUUUACUUCGUAAGCGUAUUGUUAAAAAUAUUUUCUUCUAGAAAACUUAGGUGGUCUUUUGGGGGGAGAGAGGGUGUUUGUUUGUUUGUUUGUUUUUUAAGUAAAAUGCAAUUGGUGAAAGCUUUUUAUUUUAAUUUUCCUAUAUUAUCAUUUUCCCUUCUUAGCGACUUCACUGCUGUACAAGUCAGGUGAGCACAAACAUGGCGUCAGCGUCUUGACUUUCCAAAAGCAAGUACUGAAUUUUGCAACCGUGGCAAUCACAGAACAAUUGUAUGCGAGCUGUAAAGCAUGGUGUGUUUACUUUGUGCAGUCUUAUGCAAUCCACUGUAACAAGCACUGUGUGAGAGGUUGCCUGUUUGGUAGUUCAAAUGCUGCAAUUACACAUGUCGAUGUGGUGAGCAUGUUACUAAUGUUGACGUGGUAAAUGUAUGAGUGACAUACUGGUGUUUAUGAAAGCACACAGCUGAGUCAUUGCUCUUUUUGUUAGACUCUUCCUCAGUUUCAACUUCCAGGGAUGCUCUUAUUGUCAGAAUUAACAUACAAAAGAACAUAGAUUUUGGAAAACUGCAGACACUCCAGUGUUACCCUUUCUUUCUUUUUGUAAAAUGAUUCAAAACCAUAUGAAGUAUAGAGCUUUUUUCCCUAAGUUAACUCGUCUUUGUGGAUGUAUUUCUUUAUUAAGCAUAAAUUCACUGUUUUAUUGUUCAAGGCUAGGCAGUGAGAAGUGGGUGAGCUUCAUACUGCUUAAUUCCUUUUAUCUUAGUUUAUGUAUAUCACUUACAUACAAGAGAAAGUAACCCCUUGUCACAGCCUGCCAUUACUCAUGUCCCUUGCACAUCUGAUUGCCAAAAGGAAAGGGAGGCAGAAAUUAGCAGUUCUGUAUCUCAGGGUGUAACUGUACUCCAUCUACCAGUAACAUAUGCAAUGCCAAUAAAUAUAAAUCCAAGAUAAAUGCAAGCAAAGAUCAGCAUCUCAGGUCAUAGUAUUUCUAAAAAUUCUUAAUGGCAAGUGCUAGGUUAUUACAUUCUGAAUCAGAAAAUUAGAUUUGAGAUUUGUUCCUUCUAGUUUUAUUCCCUUGUUAUGUGACUAAAGCAUGCAUGUAACCCUACCAAGCUUUGAUGUGACUCCCAAAGUAUGAAUGAAUGAACAAAUAAACUUCAAUGAUCAGAAGAUGCGCACUGAGAAUGAAGGGUCUUGAUAAUCGAAUGGUUAUUUUAUAUUUGUGGAUUAAAAGCCCAAAGCUACGUGGAGUUUUGCUGGAAAGAGUGCAAUUUUUGCAGACUUAAAACCUUUCUAAUACCUUCUACUUUUCUUAUAAUUAAAUUAUGCCUCAUUCACCACUGUAAAAUGUUUUGACAUGCAAAAAGAAGAAACAAGCUUGAAUUCUUAAAACCUGAAUUACUGGAUUACUUACUAAACUGUAAAAGCAUUCUUGAUUCAAACCAGGAAAAGAUAACUCACUAUUAUGUUGGAACAUGGCAAAGUUCAAUACUAGAACUAGAAGUGCUAUGGCACUUGGGACAGACAACAUAAAAAUUGUGUAAUUUACUAAAAAGGAAAAAUUGCUUUGCCUUAGAAUCUUGUGGAAAAAUUUAGAAAGUACUGUAGUUUCAUGAUGGUUUAUUCUUUUGGACAUGUGAUGUGUAGUCCUCAAUUAAACCUCAGAUUGGUUGGUCUACUGGAAAGCUGCCAGUCCAUACAGCUUAAAUCUUUGUCAGAAGUGAAGAAAUUACCUAAUUUAGAAUUGUAGUAGAAAGGUGAAAAUAGGUCUCUGCAGGCCUUCAAGUCCUAUUCCUGUACUUAUGUUCCCAAGGAAUGUAUUACAGGUAGUAGUAGUCUGUGUAUCUCUUAACUCAGUUUUUUUAAUUAUUACAGGUCAAAUUGUAUCUGUUUUGGAAUUUGGCCUUCACUGCAACCUUUGGACUUGUUCACAAGUGACAAAUGUAUUAAAUAGAACUGACUAAAAAUGGGAGCAUGAUUUUGCAAAGAGAGACAAAAGAAUCUCAACUUAGGAUGAACAGCACGUUGAAGGAGGUGAUUCAGAGGGCUGGGGCACCCCUCUUGGCUGGGGGUCAGGUAGUUUUGGGUUUUGGGCAUCCUGGUCUAGUGGGAGGUGUCCCUGCUCAUGACGGCAGAUUCUAUGCUAUUCUAUGAACUUCAACAGCAUCCAGUUUUAUUCUUCACUCACUGUGGUGCUUCAUAUGGACUUCCACGUCAGACACCAUUUUGUCAGUCUCCCUCUCUGCUGGCAUCUGUCACACAGCAACAAAGUGUAAUGGAAUACUGGUGGGAAGGUUCAACCUCUACUGCCAUACCACCAACAUCCACCUCUGACAUCACGGGCCAACAGAAUAAAAUAGGAGGCACAACUUUUGGAGCAGCACUCGAGUAAGAAAAAGAAUGAGAAACAUAACCUUCCCUGAGAUAUUUAAAGUAAUUUAAUACCUUUCUGUUUAGAUAACAAUCUGAGAAGAAGCAGAUUUUGAAUGAGAAGCUUUACAUCUCAGCUGUAUUUAUACCAGGCCUGUAUUGGAUUGAAGAGCAUCUCUGGCAAUAAGAAAAAGUGAACAUGCUGCAAUGAAGGCUCAGAAACAUUACCCACAUUCACUGCCUUUCAAAAUGUAAUCCAGGCCAAUUAAAGAAGAUGGUUUUGAUCUCAUAGAGAGUUUUGUGGCAGACCAGCGAGUUUGUAGGAAAAGUCAUACAUAAAACUAUUGUCAGGAGAAAACAGGUAUCAAUAUAAGGUUAUUUUCCUAAGAGCUUUCAUGUAUCUAAAACUGCUUAAGCAUAAUGAAGAUGAUAAGGGUUCCUACCUUUUAAGGCAUGUAACACAUGGUUAUUGACCUAUUUUUGAGAAGUUUCAUCGCCGGGUUGCAACUCCUUAGGAAUUCUAAGAUCCACGCGGUGAGUGAGAGAGUAGCACAGGAUAAAUUAUUCAUACUCAUUUUUCUUACUGUACUGUAUCUUAUACCAUUUGGCAACCAGUUAACUUACACCAGUAUGACAGGAUUUUAAUUAAUAAGUCUCAAAGUUACUCCAACUACUGCACAGGAUUUUGUACUUCAGUUCUUGUGUACUUAAUAUUAAUACCUCCCAAAAGUGAAGCUAGAUAUAGAGUGCUUGUCAUCUAAUGCCCAGUCUAAGUUCUUGUGCCAAAGAUUUUUCUCAGUGACCUGUUUUCAUUGACUCUUAGUUACUUAUGGUAAGACACCAGCACUGAUUUACUAGGCAAGCAUUUUGUACAUGCUUUUACUAUUUUUUCUAUGUUACAGAGUUAGGGUGUUGUUGUUUUCCUAUAAAAUAUUAGCUUGUUAGGGUUUUGCUGUUCAUAUAAUUUUCUGUGUAAACACUUGUCACAGUGAACACAGGUAACUUAUUAAAAUGAUUAAGUACUGUGUGUCUGAGCCUGCAACAAAGCAAUGAUGUUUUCUACCCAGUUUCUUCAUACAGUGUCAGCCUUAAAAACAGCAGACCAAAUUAUUGUAAAGAAAUACGGUUCUACUUGGUAUCAAUAAGGUUUGGGCCAACUUAAUUAUUAGAAAUAUUUGUCUGCCUAAUUUUUGAAGUAGUUUCUCAUGUAUAUAAUUAUAGCUCUUAACUAAAAUGGUUAGUCUAUGUCCCAGUCACUGCUCAGCCCAGGGCUGUUGAAUCUUGUGCUACCGAUUCCCAGGUAUUCACUAGUGGAGAAUCUACAUCAUCGGUAGGAAUUUUUAUUAUCAAAAUAAUAGAAAAGCCUCUGCUGAAGUUUAAGCCUUCCUGCACAUGUAUGAUAAAAGAUGUAUCCACACAGCGUUCUGUAAACAGAAAAUUCAUAGAAGGGGUUAAAAGCAGAUCUAAGACUAACAUAGUCCACUCUUAUAAGCUGCUUAGUAUUUUAACUCUGAAGUCCCAGAGUUCCCCGCUUCCACAUGUUAGUAAUCUCCCAGCUAUACUCAACAAAGUUUUCCUUGUGCAAAGAAAGCCAAGAGGAGUGAAGAAGUUGCAUCUGCAGUGAAGUAGAGGGUAGAUAUAAGCCAGCUUGCAUCUCACGGCCCAGGGAUGAUUCACCAAGACACUGAGGACAUACCCAGAGGGAAAGAUUCUCUACCUGUGCUGGAAAGAAGGGGAGCACAGCUAGGAAGGAACUAGCCUUUCCAGUUUACACCAAGUCAGAGAUUCUUUCCAUAUUGGGAAACUGAGAUAACAAAUCAAAGCCAGAAUCCAGUCCAGUCUCACAGGCAGGGCUGGUGCCUCUACCAAGCAAGACUGCCCAGCCUGUAGCAUUAAUAGUAAUUCUAUGGGAAAGCAAUAAGCAAUGUUUUCAAAAAGCUGAUUAUGUGCUACAGAGGUUAUAUGCAAAUAUACUUGCCGGUUAUCUCACACAGGUGGUCUCAGGAAGCAGUCUCAAGACAUAUUUAGAGGUAAAUUGUGUUCUUCAUCACAGUAUUGUACACUACCAAUAUAUGAAAUUCAAGAUGAAAUCAGUAGAUGUUUUUACAUGUAACUGGGUGCAGAAAUUAGCCCUUAAGUGUGCUGGAAAGUCAGAGAUUUCUCUUGGUGUCAGGUAAGAAAGAUGAGACUUCUGUAUUCAGCAUUAGGCAAUUCAUGUAUACUUCAGCAAGAACUAUGCUAUAGCAACAGGAUAUCAUGUUUUAAAUAAUAAAGAUGAUGACAGACUUCAAGAUUGAAGCCCUAUCUGCUUUUCCUCUCUAUCUUGAUUAACAGCAAUAGUAAGAAAAAGGAUCCUGAUACUUCCAUGUCUCCUAAAAAGGUUAGAAGAUGCAAGCAUCAAAACAUUCAUAACUAUAAAGUGAUACACAACUUUUCUAUAAAUGGAAUGUCUGACUCUUUGCUGUCUUCUAGUAGUAAUCUAUAUCCAUUGUGGGGUUAUUUGCAGGACAACAGUCCCUGUGACCUCGAUCUGUUUCUAUAAAGGGCCACAAAGCUGUCACUUUGCUGCUAUGUUAGACUUUUUCAGCUAGGGGUGCUAGUUGGGAAAUGGACAUUGGCACAGCAAUAUUCAGUCUUCACAGAAAGCUUUUUCCUAUAUACCCAUGAUUUGUUUUCUACUUCUCCUCUCAUCCAAAAGGGAGGCUUGCACACUUAUUUGUGCUUUUGAAAAUCAGUUUCUCUCUCAGGCCCCACGUUGUACAGACUAACAGUUUAAAUUUCUUCAGAAGAGGGGAGUAAGAACAAGUCACAGUUAAAGACUAGAGAUAUUUACCCUCUCUUACCUGCCCUCAAGGAACUGAGGUGCUGCCAGCAAUUAGAGAUAGUUGUCAGUUCCCCUGGGAUUACAAUAAGCAGGAACCAGUAAGUGCACUCUGUUCUCAUCUACCUGCCCUAGAAAAGCUCAUUUGCCACUGAACAAUAGCAAGCACUUCACAGUUCUCUUUGAAUUUUUUCUGAUCUCUGAAAAUCAUCCAAAAUGCAGAGAGUAACUGCUGUUUGAGGUUAAAAUCCUAAUCUAGGAACAGCGGCAAAAUUUUGCAACUCAUGUAACUCCUCCUAAGUAGUUUCAAAAUCUUUUAGUGAAAACAUAUAGUAUGUGUGUUUGGAUGUUGUAACCAAUACUCAGAAGACAAUGAGAACAAGACUGAGUGUCUGCUAUUGCAGUUGGUAAGUUACAUAAUUUUCAAACUUCUCUUCCAGCUUUGUAUACUGUUUAAUCAUUUUCAUAUUUCUGUGGAAGUAGCACAGCAUUCUGAUGAAGCUUCUGUCUGUAUUCUGGCUGUUUUUGUAGCUUGCUUAGAAACCAUAGAGAAUAUGAUCAAUUUACAGCUGCUUAUAUAUGUUGUCAACAGAUAUAGAUUCUUAGUGUUGCAUGUAUGUAAGUUUCCAUUACUUCUUAUAAUAAUGUCAUUAAGUUGCCUCAUCCUGCACUGCACAGUACAAAGUGUUUUGCUUUGAUUUACAGGGCUGAUUGACAGUCUUUUUAUUUCCUGAUGAAUAAUGGACACGGCAAAACAGAACAAGCACAGGUAACAUAUAAUAAAAUUAUGGAAACUUUACAAAUCUGUGUAGUUUCAUAUGUAAAGUAUGUAUAGGAUUCUAGUCAGCUAUGAAGCUGUUAAAUAGUAGACUCAUAAACACUGGGAUUAUGGGAUUUUAAUGUGGCUCAUCACAUCCUAGGUGAGUAAAUCAGAAAUGUGUUUCAUAUAAAAAAAAAUCAGGUGAAAUUAAAUAAUCAUUUUAAUAUGACACCACAAAAAGCUUUGUGGCAUCUUAAAUCUAUAGGGUAAACUAGCCCUACAGGAACACUCGCCUGUUUUGGUACAGUGGGAAACAAGAAUAUGUUGGACUGAUUGUCAGAUUCCAAGUACUUGCCUGUUUGACAGUCCUUCCUGAGAAUUUGUGUCCUUUUGUGAGAAUGAGUAGGAGAGUUUCUGACUUGCUGUUACAUCAGCAGGUGGGUGGCAUGAAUCUCACACAGGCCAUUUUGAAGCAAUGGCUUUACCAAGUAACUGAUUUAAUUACUGUUUUCUUUCUCUUACUGCAGAUGCCUUCGUAGCGUCUGUUGUUCUUUUGUUCUGCGUUGCCCUUCCUUCCUCUCUGUCUGUUCUUUACCUUCAACAUUCAUUUGAUUUGAAAAAGAAUCCCUCAAGAAUAUUGUUGCUUCCUCUGCAGCCUUUGUAAUGGUGUCUUUGCUGCUGCUUUUCCCAGUGGCCUGCCUCUGGCCUCCCACCUUCAUGGGAGACUGUCUUGUUUCACUUGUCUGGGGCACGUUGCCCUCCAGCACUUCUCCUGAGCAGAAGUCACUGACUGAGUCACAGCUGGGUGUUGUCUGGCUGAAGGUAAGAAACAUAACCAGUAAUGAUCUCUAGCAGUAAGUUCUAUGUACUUCUGAGAUAUUAGUCUGAACAGAGACUGGAUUUUAAAUGUCAGUUUGUGCUUCAGUUUGUACUUGGCAAACAAGGUAAGUUCCUGUUCCCUAUUCACUUUCUCCCUCACAGAAGCUUUGCAGUAACAGUCCCAUCUUCCAUAUCUGCUUCAGUAGUCUCUCUGCUCUAUAGUUAGUAAGUCCAAAACCCUCUCCACUUCUCUCUUGAUCAGAAAAGCUUCAGGAGUGUUUUUGAAUCACCACUUCUUAUCCUGAAUCAUUUAAGUUCAUGGUUCUGAAUGUUGUUGCAAGUACACAAAACUGAGCAGGACUCCGAGCAAAUAAAUAAAUACACAUGGAACGACAGGGCUCCAACAAACACUGCUCUGGAGGACAUAAGGGACAGAGAGACAUGUUUGCAUUAUAGUGAAAACUGCUUUGAAGGCAAGCUCAGGUCUAUACAUCUAUGGAGCUUGUCUCACGAAGUCCAGUUGCAUUUGACUACCAAGUCUUGGCAUGGAUGCAGGCUGCUGGCAUUUGCUGAGCACCAUUCAUGCAUUCUGUGUUCAUGAGCUGUGGGAGCUGUGUGUUUCAGUGUGAUCCCAGACCAGGCAACUGUUGUGAACAGGUACUUAAAGAAACCUUCUGGAAAGGCUGGUUUCAAUUGCCAACUUGGAAAAAAGAGUUUUCACUCAUACCUUCUCCAAGUUCAGCUGCCUUCAGCUGUAGAAAACUGCUUUGGUAUCUCCUACCAAUGCCUACCUACGCCUACUGAUCAUCUUUCUUCUUUGCACCUACAAAGGAUAUGUGCAUGGCCUUUCUGCCAUCUCUCCGAACUGAUGUGGAAGAGUCAGGAUAGAAGCCUGUGAUGUUCUGAGGUCAAUGUCUAUCUAUUCUUACUGUAUUUUUUAGAGGGGACCUACAACAAAAUGCCACUUGCAGCUAAAGAUCACACAAUUUUAUUUGUAUCUGUCUCCAACCAGCUUGAAAAUUCUUGUUAUUCCCAGGUUUGUUGGCCUCACAGUGGAACAAGAAAGAAUAUGGCAUAAAAAAAGUCAGCAUAGCUUCCCACCACCCACAAGUGACAGUAGUAUUAUUUAGACAGUUAUGCCUCAGGCAGAACUGGUCACAGUACAAAUGAAAUCAAAAUAGAGUUUCAGCAAUUUGACUGUUUAAGAAUGAUGGCUACAGUGGUAAACAAAAACUGGGCAAGCACAUCUGUUUUUGCAAGUAAAUAGUGAGAUGUAGCUAGAUUGCGUUUUGUCUCAGAUUCAGUCUCAAAAACCAUUUUCUCUUAUCUCUGUUCCUCUCCCAGUUCCAUCCUUGAUCGCUUACUUAACAUAUUUGAUGAACUAUCAUAAAAGAAAAACUGAGAUUUCCUGCAGACAUUUUUUUUAAAAUUUCUCUAACUAUAUUUCAAGUAAAUUCAGUGACAAAAGUUUGAUCCCAUUAUGACUGUACCUUUUACCUGUAAAACAUGCGUACAACUUUGACAAUUAUUUUUCUAUAUUGUUUGCCAUGAACCUUGCAUAAAAGGAGAUGAGGUUAAGAGCAUUUGCCUUUGUAACAAUAGGUUGUCUUUUCAAAUGUACAAAACUUCUAUUUUAGGCAUUAAUCAAAAUGGUUUCCAGACUCCCUAAGGCCAUAAUGCCUGUACUACCACAGGAAACAUCUUAUACAAAAUUUUCUAUUUUUCUUUUUUUCCAGGAAAAAAAGAUGCUGAGGAGCAAGGCACACGGCAAUAAAUAAAUAAAAAGCUUACAAAAAUACCAUAAACUAAAUCUUCUCCAGAGAACAUUCCAAAAUAAAUAGUUCCCAAAUGUAGCAACUAGGCAUCUUAGCAAUUCCACAAUGCAUUUCAUUGGCAGUGAGAUAGUUCACCUUAAUUUUAACGUAUAAAUUUUAACAUUGGCUUAAAAAAAUCCAAUUUUAGGCUAGACAAUUGUGAUUCAUAAAAUGUGGCAACUUAUAAUAGGACUUUUUUUUUAAAUGUUUCAGCUUCCUACCACCAAGUUUCAGAAAAAACUUGUGACCUGCAAACUUGACCUAUAUAAACAGAAGGUUUUUCUGUGCAGUAAGUGAACAGUUUGGCACAAAUAGUAAUAUGCCUAUGGAGAACUGCUCUACUAAGUCUGGAACUCAUCAUCAUGAUUUGUUUCAUUCUGCGAGUGCUGCCAUUCACUAAGCAGCUAGAACACAGGCGCAGAGGAGAGAGAUUAAAUGCCACUGUCUGCCUUCUGGAGUCUGAUUCUGCAGUUCAAAUUAUAUUCAGCUACAGACCAGUGCUCACUACAGAUUUGACUGCAAUGAAGAUGUGGAACAAAACAUCUGGUUCUCCAGGGAAAAUGGAAGGCAUCUCAGCCAUCUUCUCAUAGAUCACCUAUACCAGCAUUUGGCACAGAAUAGGUAUGUACAUAUAUAAUGCAUAUCUCCCUGAUCCCCUUUACUUACCAUUGUGUUGAGCAGAACAGAGGAAGGCCUGCCAUGUGGUCACAAACUUCGGUGCAUCUGGCCAUGACCUGCCUUUCUAGUUUCCAUGCAGCAGCACACAAACAUUUCUUUCUGUUACGGAAGUCCUUAGAGUUCCUCUGCUAUUGAGUAAAAUGACUAAGACAAAUCUUAAAUGAAGAAAAUUAGCUUUAUUUAUGUAAAUUAGAAAAAUGAAUUGUUAGAGCUUUGGUCAAAUGGUUAAUUCUGUACAAUUUACAAUUAUAUUUAUAUACAAGACUUAAUAAAAUACAGUACAUCACACUUUUCCUGAGUCACAGUGUGUUUCUCAGUUCCCUCUCCUUUUUAUCUUUUUUUUUUUCAAAA